RNAcentral lists this ribosomal RNA (449 nucleotides) under uncultured bacterium. RNAcentral's name for it is "partial 16S ribosomal RNA". It matches the Rfam family "Bacterial small subunit ribosomal RNA", at positions 354 to 796 of the family's 1533-position model. The record is from RNAcentral.
GUGGGGAAUUUUGGACAAUGGGCGCAAGCCUGAUCCAGCAAUGCCGCGUGCAGGAAGAAGGCCUUCGGGUUGUAAACUGCUUUUGUACGGAACGAAAAGACUCCUUCUAAUAAAGGGGGUCCAUGACGGUACCGUAAGAAUAAGCACCGGCUAACUACGUGCCAGCAGCCGCGGUAAUACGUAGGGUGCAAGCGUUAAUCGGAAUUACUGGGCGUAAAGCGUGCGCAGGCGGUUAUAUAAGACAGAUGUGAAAUCCCCGGGCUCAACCUGGGAACUGCAUUUGUGACUGUAUAGCUAGAGUACGGUAGAGGGGGAUGGAAUUCCGCGUGUAGCAGUGAAAUGCGUAGAUAUGCGGAGGAACACCGAUGGCGAAGGCAAUCCCUGGACCUGUACUGACGCUCAUGCACGAAAGCGUGGGGAGCAAACAGGAUUAGAUACCCCAGUAGUCC